Molecule: long non-coding RNA, 1483 nt
Filed under: Hordeum vulgare
Lineage: Eukaryota; Viridiplantae; Streptophyta; Magnoliopsida; Poales; Poaceae
Description: long non-coding RNA (HVUL_LNC000669)
Source: RNAcentral
GUGGAACUGUUGUUUUUCUUAGGGCAAGCUAGCAGAUAGAAGUAAUCUAUCUGGUUAGCCAGGCGAAGCAUUUAGGGUUCAGUGCCUGGUUUCAAGUGUUCUUCUUCAUCGUUUGGCACUUCACUUUUUGUUGAGUAAUCCAAUGGCCUAAUGACACAUGCACAUCUUUUGGUGAUGUCGCCUUACUUAGUGACUAGCUCAAGUGCAUUUGAUCGCAAAAAAGACUGGCAUUGGCUCCGGGUCAAAUCUACAGGGGGCAUGCAAAUCAAAUGCGAAAGAAAGGAAAACAUUUCUGUUUCUUCUGCUUCAAUGCCGUGAUACACUCAGGAUGUUUACGAUACCUACCCAUUAAUUGCUCUAACUUCUCGUGGUUCACCCCUAGCUAUGCCCGCUUCUAUGAAAUUCCAAAUUAUGCUUGCAAGCUCAUCGGAGCUAGGCAACUCUUUGUCAGUGAUUUCAUGCCUACCAAGCAGGUACACUCUAAUGUAUACACCCUUUAAGAAAAGAAAUCCUUCUCGUAUUCUGCUGCUUUUUUGAUUCAUUUUAUCCCAAUAAUAGCAUAGACAUCAUAUAUUUAUUCUUGCAAGCUCAAGUGCUUGAUUGUUGACAAAUUCUUCUCUCAGCAGGGCACCUCAGGUAUCUAUCUAUAGUUUCCUGAUGACACGACCUCUUUUUGCUCCAUAAACGAAUUUGAAAAAGGAAGAAGGCUUUAGCUCCCUUCCAUUGUCUUGGGUCAAAGAUCAAGCGUGAACUUCUCCCUCAUCUAAGGUUGGGUUGUGGAUAAUAGACUUCCCCUUGGGCCGGAUCUUCCCAAGUAUAACACGAUCCAUGAGCGAUAUCAAUGCAGUGACAGUCCUUGCUAUUGAGUCCUGUGCUGGUAAGAUGACAACGCUCUAAAAGGUUUGUUUAAGAAAGCAAUCAUAUCCCGUCCCCAAGUGCGGUAUGGACCCCAAAGAGUUAUAUAAGUAGGAAAAUGGGAAGAAUUGAGGCACCUACAAAAGUAAUGGGUCAGCUUAUGAUUUUAGGCAUGGUUACUGGAGGGAUCGUCCCUACCUAUCUGCGCAAGAUCGAAUCAGUAUGGUUUUGAGAGGAAGGCUGGUGGCAUACGAAGAGAGGGCGACAGAACAUCUGCAUUCCCUUUCUUUGAUUGAGAGAAGGAUAAAGCAGAAAAAAAGACUUGACUGAAACUCCAUUCGCUUUUUUCCUUCCUGAGAUAUGGAAUGUCAUUAAAUUAAGUAGAUGAGAUGCCAAAUAUAGGCAUGAGUUAUUUCGCCAAGCAAAGCUUUGUGUUCUGAAGGUAAAAAAAGAUGGUAAAGCCCAUUAAAAAGAGUGCCACGCAGCAGCACCUCCUGUGUCACUCGAUCCAAACCCGACACAUCUUUCUUUCUAUACGAAAUGAGUCAGCUUAUGAUUUUAGGCAUGGUUACUGGAGGGAUCGUCCCUACCUAUCUGCGCAAGAUCGGAUCAGUAUGGUUUUGAGANN